RNAcentral lists this ribosomal RNA (440 nucleotides) under uncultured bacterium. Its description in RNAcentral is "partial 16S ribosomal RNA". It matches the Rfam family "Bacterial small subunit ribosomal RNA", at positions 338 to 795 of the family's 1533-position model. The record is from RNAcentral.
CCUACGGGAGGCAGCAGUGGGGGAUAUUGCACAAUGGGGGGAACCCUGAUGCAGCGACGCCGCGUGGGCGAUGGCGUGCUUCGGCGUGUAAAGCCCUAUCAGCAGGGAAGAAAAUGACGGUACCUGACUAAGAAGCCCCGGCUAAAUACGUGACAGCAGCCGCGGUAAUACGUAUGGGGCAGCCGUUAUCCGGAUUUCUUGGUGGUAAAGGGGGGUUAGGGGGCCGGGCAAGUCGGAGGUGAAUGACCGGGGCCCAACCCCGGGGCUGCAUGGGGAACUGCCAGGCUGGAGAGCCGGAGAGGCAGGCGGAAUUCCUAGUGUAGCGGUGAAAUGCGUAGAGAUUAGGAGGAACACCAGUGGCGAAGGCGGCCUGCUGGACGGUGACUGACGCUGAGGCUCGAAAGCGUGGGGAGCAAACAGGAUUAGAUACCCUGGUAGUC